Molecule: ribosomal RNA, 253 nt
Filed under: uncultured prokaryote
Description: partial 16S ribosomal RNA
Rfam family: Bacterial small subunit ribosomal RNA
Source: RNAcentral
ACGUAGGGUGCGAGCGUUAAUCGGAAUUACUGGGCGUAAAGCGUGCGCAGGCGGUUGUGCAAGACAGGUGUGAAAUCCCCGGGCUUAACCUGGGAAUUGCGUUUGAAACUACAGAGCUGGAGUGUAGCAGAGGGGGGUGGAAUUCCAUGUGUAGCAGUGAAAUGCGUAGAGAUAUGGAAGAACAUCGAUGGCGAAGGCAACCCCCUGGGUUAACACUGACGCUCAUGCACGAAAGCGUGGGGAGCAAACAGGA